Molecule: small nucleolar RNA, 127 nt
Organism: Nycticebus coucang (slow loris)
Lineage: Eukaryota; Metazoa; Chordata; Mammalia; Primates; Lorisidae
Product: small nucleolar RNA SNORA25
Exons: 1
Source: RefSeq, a predicted model, not a curated record
AGGAGAUUUCAAAGAGGGCUUGUGGGGCUGUGAAACCAGGAGCUUUUAAUGUAGUGACGAAAGAUUGAAGUUCUGUACAGGAUGCUAUAGUCACACAGUAGUGUUCUUUUCUUGAGGAGAUAUGUCA